This 397-nucleotide ribosomal RNA is filed under the name Reckertia sp. RNAcentral describes it as "partial small subunit ribosomal RNA". It matches the Rfam family "Eukaryotic small subunit ribosomal RNA", at positions 582 to 975 of the family's 1831-position model. The record is from RNAcentral. Lineage: Eukaryota; Cercozoa; Imbricatea; Thaumatomonadida; Thaumatomastigidae.
AUUCCAGCUCCAGUAGCGUAUAUUAAAGUUGUUGCAGUUAAAAAGCUCGUAGUUGGAUUUCUGAUAGUAGCGUCGGGCCCGCCCGGGUUACCGGUGUGAGUGCCUGUUCGCUCCUUUCAUCCUUCUAGAGAACGGUUCUCUCCUUCAUUGGCAGUGGGAUCGCAAUCUAGAUCUUUUACUUUGAAAAAAUUAGAGUGUUUAAAGCAGGCUUGUGCUAUGAAUACAUUAGCAUGGAAUAAUAAUUUAGGACUUUAGUUCUAUUUUGUUGGCUUCUAGAACUGAAGUAAUGAUUGAUAGGGAUAGUUGGGGGUGCUAGUAUUCAGCGGCCAGAGGUGAAAUUCUUGGAUUCGCUGAAGACUAACUUAUGCGAAAGCAUUCACCAAGGAUGUCUUCAUUA